AUAUCCAUUCAACUUGGGAUAUUUUUUUUUUCUUCCAAAGUUGGGAUAAAUUUGUUGACUUGUUAUGACUACUAAAUGAAGAGAAAUAUCUUGGGACAUGAAGAAAUUGAGAAGGAAGGUAGAUGGAAAUUGAUCAUAUGGGUGUGGGCACAACAUCUCGUACAAUCAGUAAUCGUCCAUCAACAUUUCAAGGAUCACACGACCCAACUAACCUCCACUCGUUUUAUUUGUUUUCAUCCUUCUUGCUUCCUUUUCUAUUAUACUUUUCAAGAGUGUAGUGUCUCUGUUUAAUUUGGUCAUCUUCAUUUCUACACCGUACACUCGACUGUGGUGCAACACCAAGUUUAAAUUGGCGAAGGUUGUUCAGACAUCCACCAUUAUUAUUGUUUCUCUGUCUCACCGGUGGGUCAAACCUUUCUCACACGUGUCAAAGUUGGCAGAUACAGUAUCAACACAUCCACACGUACAUCGUUUCCUACAAUCUCUAUAAAAAUCAAAGCCCUCAUUGCCCAACGCAUACCAGAUGAGUUUUCAUUUCAAUCCAAGGUCUACGGGACCCUGCAGCUGGUUGCAGGUGGAUUCUGUAUGUGUGGAGUGAUUACAUGCACUCUCAUCAUGGAAUUAUAUUAAUGAGAACUCUUUAAAUUCUUUCUAUAUCCAGCAAACUAACUUAAUAAUGUUCAUCAUCCGGGUGAGUGAUUUCCUUGCUACGCUAUGUCAAGUGAGCAAUCUUUUGCCAAUUAGCCUUGGUUUCGUUGUCUGUUCGACCUUGAUCAAACAUGUAUGUUUAGGAUACCAAAACCCUAAUUUAAAAGUGUUUAGCACCAAAAGAAAAACCACCUAAAUUAGCAUCUUCUGUUGAUGAAGCCUAGGAUCUUAAAAAGAAAACAAGAAAAACUUGUUUUGGUCCUCCCUCUCUACUGAUGCUAUAAUCAGUUAGCUAGAUUUAUAUAUGCACAUGCACCAUGUAUCUUACGAGGAAUUACUUGGGUAGUUUUGUGGUUUCUGUAGAGCACAGACAGUUACUGUCAAAUUAAACUAUGUGCCUUUCAGGUUUACUAUAAUAAAAUAACUAUUAUAAGGGAAACUGAUUAGGGGUUCUCGCUUAAUUAUAAUCUAUAACACAUUAGAUUUUGCACGUCUGAAAAGAAAUAUAUAUAUAUAUAUUUGUUGGUUCCAAGUUAUAGGUAGAGUAUAUAAGGAUGAAAUAUAUGUUAAUGGUCACCGAAAGUUAUUCAUCGAUUUCCUAGAAGCUAGAACAAGACAUACUAAGAUUAAGGAGCUAGAGCUUCAUUAACAUGUUUGCUGAAGAAGCAGUUCAAGUAGGUUUGAGUUUGAGAACUUAAGAGUAAAUGCGAUAAGAAAUUAUUUUUAGUAUAUCUCAUCACUGGAAAUUACAAUCAUGAUCAUGAUCCAUAGUUUUAUUGAUUACAAUUACAAGUUCAAUAAAUUAUGUCAUCAGAUAGAGUUUAGAUGAAGAAGCAACCUUUUAAUUAGGUCUGUAACCAUAUUGUACAUCGCUUAUCUUUUUUGUCGAUUAGGUUGAGCUUUGUACUCGUCCUUCGGGCCGGUGAGGAGUCUGAGUCAGGGACCAUGACCUUUUUUACGCAGUAACCAUUUAAGAUCUAUCCCAAUUUAAUACUUUUAUCUUUUUCAUCUUUUUUUUGGGGUGGUGGGGAUUGAUGAGAUAGCUUGACAGAACACAUUGACGUUUUCAAAGUGCUAUGUACGAAAUGAAGUCUUGAGGCCCUUGUUUGUAUUGUGCAUUGUUUUUAUUCCAUGUUCAUGCUCUGAUGCUUACACCCAUCUUUUUACAUUAUAGGAACCUUAUCUUAUCUCUCCAGUACAUUGCUUUUACUACGUAAUGAUCACAGGAGAAUAUAGGAAGCUCAGAUCAAGAGCCAGGAUUGAGUCUAAAAUUUUCAAAGUAACGUUUUUAUUCGGUAUAUAUGACAUUGUUCACACCCAAUAGAAUCAACGGACUGUCUUCUUGUCUCACCAAUUUCUAUGCUAAAUCUAAUAAGUUAAAAUUCCUUAAAUUUCUAAUAUACUGGCAGUCAAGACCUUGUACAAGUUUUUCUUUUUUCUUUUUUUCAAAAAUAAUAUUAAUGAGCAUUACUUGAUCAGGUGGUUAGGAGGUGGAGUCUAAAUUUAGAUUAUAAUAAUAUAUACUACUAGUAUUCUCUUCUUUUAUUAACAAAAAAAAAAAAAGAAAGAAAAGUUUUUAUUAGAUAUAAGGAUACAUGCAAUAUACAAACAGAAAAGGGUAGUUCUAACAAAAGUUUGGAAGGUCGAACAUGCGACGAAUAUGAGGUGUUAAGCAAAGGACUACUUAUUUGACAAGGCUUUGCAUGGAAUUCAAUUCCCUAAAAUCUACACAUGCGUUCGACUCUGUGCCAGAAGAAAGGGCCAAGGAAAGUGCGGAGCUUAUCCAAACCAGCCAAAAAUGGGUAAAUUAAAAACAUGGCUAUUUACAGUUUUAUAAGUUAUCAAAGUCUGAUUAAUAUCUUGCUUUUCUCUUUAAUUUUUUCUUAGCAGGAAUGACGGGUCAGAGCGAAAAUUCAAAUUUAAAUUUAUUAAAGAAAUUAUGAGUCUACUAAACAAGUCAGAUGCUUUAUUAAGGGAUUAAAUUAAAAAUUAUUUUCUCCAAUCACCAUAAAAGCAAAUAUUUUAGGUAGAUAGAGAGAAGACUUUAUCCGCUCCUUACUGCUUUGCUUAAAGGUGCAAGAAUGAUUGAUACCUCUUGAUUGGCUUGUUGUUUUAUUAAUUAAUUAAUUAAUUAGUUUCUUUCUAAAAGUAGUUCUUGUUUUGGAUAUUUCUUUGUCGAUGACAUCCGACUUUUCUUUGCCUUAUCGAGCAGGUUCUUUCCCUUAAUUCAGUUAUGAGUUCCUUUCUUCCCACUAUUGAAUUGGGUUGUACAUUUUGUUUUUGAAAAAUGGUUUCGUUUCUGGCCUCAACGUUUUCUUAAAAGAGAGAUGUUCUCACGAUUGCCUUUUGAUUUUGUUGCACUUGUGUUUAUAUUUCCGCCAGUGCAUGUUUAUUUUUAUAGGUGGUGCUAAACUUCUCCAAGGACCUUCGAUUACUCAUCUUGAAGACACUCUCGAUACCCCCAAUUGGGUUACUUUGGUACUUCAUCAGCUAUUCUAAAAGCUAUACCGAUUCUUCUCAUUGAAGCUGCCAGAAAAUGCUAACACUGGAUCUCAAUUUUUCUUUGUGAUUGGUUCUAUACAGAAACCGUUUAGUGUAGAUCUACUCUUUCCUUUACUAUUUCUACUAUUUGGCUAAACUUAACAUAUCUCUGCUUGAUUGGCUUGCAUAUUGUUUUUUCUACCACACCAUGGGCUUCGAUGACCAAGAAUAUGUUGACUUCAUCUCCCUUGCCGGUAAUGGUCAGAUUCUAGCGGUUCUGUUCUCUUAAGAGGUGGUAUGUGGUGUAAGGUUUUAUAAAAAGUACAAUAUUUUGCUGGUUCGAAUCCAUCCUGUCAUGUGCUCGGUCGCAUCUAGGGUUUGAUUUUUUAGGUCUAGUUUUUAUUAUUGAGCCGAGUUUUGGGCUUUGAGUAGUUUUUAAUGUUGCUUGGACAUGCAUUCUGUAUUGUAAUCCUCUUUGGGUUUUUGAAAUCUAAUCUUGUUUUAUUAGGUUUAAACCUUUUAACUAAUCAACUUGUGUAUCAACAAUUGACGGUCUGUUAAAAAAUUGAUUAACAGUUUUUUUUUUA
Molecule: long non-coding RNA, 3716 nt
Organism: Manihot esculenta (cassava)
Lineage: Eukaryota; Viridiplantae; Streptophyta; Magnoliopsida; Malpighiales; Euphorbiaceae
Exons: 2
Source: RefSeq, a predicted model, not a curated record